ACGUGAUCUGCAUGAGGUCAGCCUGCCAGUGAGCAGUUAAACGGCCGCGGUACCCUAACCGUGCGAAGGUAGCGCAAUCACUUGUUCUUUAAAUGAGGACUAGUAUGAACGGCAUCACGAGGGUUAUACUGUCUCCCCCUUCUAAUCAGUGAAACUGACCCCCCCGUGAAGAGGCGGGGAUAAAAAUAUAAGACGAGAAGACCCUAUGGAGA
This 212-nucleotide ribosomal RNA is filed under the name Polypedates sp. Ply. RNAcentral's name for it is "partial 16S ribosomal RNA". It matches the Rfam family "Bacterial large subunit ribosomal RNA", at positions 1887 to 2099 of the family's 2925-position model. The record is from RNAcentral. Lineage: Eukaryota; Metazoa; Chordata; Amphibia; Anura; Rhacophoridae.